This 476-nucleotide ribosomal RNA is filed under the name Heptranchias perlo (sharpnose sevengill shark). Its description in RNAcentral is "partial 12S ribosomal RNA". It matches the Rfam family "Bacterial small subunit ribosomal RNA", at positions 854 to 1522 of the family's 1533-position model. The record is from RNAcentral. Lineage: Eukaryota; Metazoa; Chordata; Chondrichthyes; Hexanchiformes; Hexanchidae.
AAUUUACCUUAUUAUUCGCCAGAAUACUACAAGCGCUAGCUUAAAAUCCAAAGGACUUGGCGGUGCUUCAAACCCACCUAGAGGAGCCUGUUCUAUAACCGAUAAUCCCCGUUAAACCCCACCACCCCUUGCCAUUACCGCCUAUAUACCACCGUCGUCAGCUCACCCUAUGAAGGUUAUAAAAGUAAGCAAAAAGAAUUAAACUCCCAUACGUCAGGUCGAGGUGUAGCGAAUGGGGUGGAAAGAAAUGGGCUACAUUUUCUAUUAAGAAAAUACGGACAGUAAACUGAAAAAUUACUCCAAGGUGGAUUUAGCAGUAAGAAGAAAUAAGAAUAUUUUACUGAAGUUGGCUCUGAAGCGCGCACACACCGCCCGUCACUCUCCUCGCCAUAAACACUACCAUUAUAUAAAAAAAUUUUAUUAAAAGAGGAGGCAAGUCGUAACAUGGUAAGUGUACUGGAAAGUGCACUUGGAAU